UACAGAGGGUGCAAGCGUUAAUCGGAGUUACUGGGCGUAAAGGGCGCGUAGGCGGUUAUGUAAGUGAGAUGUGAAAUCCCUGGGCUUAACCUAGGAACUGCAUCUUAUACUGUAUAGCUGGAGUACUGUAGAGGGUAGUGGAAUUUCCGGUGUAGCGGUGAAAUGCGUAGAUAUCGGGAGGAACACCUGUGGCGAAAGCGGCGCACUGGACCACAACUGACGCUGAGGCGCGAAAGCUAGGGGAGCAAACAGG
RNAcentral lists this ribosomal RNA (253 nucleotides) under uncultured bacterium. RNAcentral's name for it is "partial 16S ribosomal RNA". It matches the Rfam family "Bacterial small subunit ribosomal RNA", at positions 524 to 776 of the family's 1533-position model. The record is from RNAcentral.